Molecule: microRNA precursor, 57 nt
Filed under: Tribolium castaneum (red flour beetle)
Lineage: Eukaryota; Metazoa; Arthropoda; Insecta; Coleoptera; Tenebrionidae
Description: Tca-Mir-3825_pre stem-loop
Source: RNAcentral
UGUUUUCUUCUUCUGCACUAUUUUAUACUUAAAAAACCGUGCGGAGAAGACAACAAG